AGCAUCCAAGGAGAGUGUGGGCAGCUGGAGCCAGUUAGCACUGCCUCUAAGGUCUCCUGCAACUCACCCACCCACCCCUCUUACUCCAUGGUAUUCAACUUCUAAACUAAGAGGAAAGCCCGAGCUAGAGGUCCUAUGCAUCAAUCAGGGAAGAGAUAUUGAGAAGAAUAAACAGAGAAACUGAGUUCAAGCUUAACUCCCAACCCCUUGAGUGUGGGCUAGACUUAGUGACCUGCUUCUAAGGAAUAGAGUAUGGAAAGAGGAAAAUAGCAACAUUACAGGAGAGAAACCUGAAAGCAACUUAACCAAGUGAUCACAGAAUCACUGGUAAUAACUCUUGUUGAUAUCAUGUGCCCCCAAUACAGUAUGAUGAAAAGACCCAUCAUCUCGGUGAUAUUUAUCCUCAAAAUCUAUAAUCUUACAACAAUUAUGAGAAAAUAUAGACAAACCCAAUUUGAAAGGAAGCAAGUCUACAAGAUACUUAACCAGUACUUUACAAAAGUGACAAGGUCACAAAAGACAGCACAAGACUGAGAAACUCACAGAUUGGAGGAAGCCAAAGAGACAUCAUGGCUGAGAUCAUGGUGGUGGAACCCUGGUUUGGAUCCUGGAACAGAAAAAAAGAACACUAAGUGGAAAAACUGAUGAAAUAUAAAUAACAUAAUAAAAAUCUAUAAUUUAAUUAAUGGUAUUGUACGACUAUUAAUCUCUUAAGUUUUAAAAAAUGGACCAUUAUUAUGUAAGAUAUUAACGUCAGGGGAAGCUAGGUAAAGGUUACUUGGGAACUCUCUGCAACUUUUCUAAAAUUAUUUUGGAUGGGUGUGGUGGCUCAUUCCCCCUGUAAUCUCAACACUUUAGAAGGAAA
This 865-nucleotide long non-coding RNA is filed under the name Homo sapiens (human). Its description in RNAcentral is "HSALNT0315519". The record is from RNAcentral. Lineage: Eukaryota; Metazoa; Chordata; Mammalia; Primates; Hominidae.